Molecule: ribosomal RNA, 497 nt
Filed under: uncultured bacterium
Lineage: Bacteria
Description: partial 16S ribosomal RNA
Rfam family: Bacterial small subunit ribosomal RNA
Source: RNAcentral
GACGAACGCUGGCGGCGUGCCUAAUACAUGCAAGUUGAGCGCUGAGGCGUGGUACUUGUACCAAUGGUGUUAGCAGCGAACGGGUGAGUAACGCGUGGGUAAUCUGCCUUUGAGCGGGGGACAACAUCGGGAAACGAGUGCUAAUACCGCAUAAUAACUUUAAACACAAGGUUUAAGUUUGAAAGAUGCAAUUGCAUCACCCAAAGGUUAGCCCGCGUUGUAUUAACUAGUUGGUGAGGGAAAGGCCCACCAAGGGGAUGAUACAUAGCCGAACUGAGAGGGUGAUCGGCCACAUUGGGACUGAGACACGGCUCAAAACUCUUCGGGGGGGCGCCGGAGGGAAUCUUUGGCCAUGGGCGGAAGUCUGAACGAGGCAAGCCGGGGGAGUGAAGAAGGUUUUCGGGUCGUAAAAAUCUGUUGGUAGGGAAGAAACUUAGUGGGAGUGGAAAGCUCACAAAGUGACGGUAACUAAUCAGAAAGCGACGGCUAACUACGUG